This 481-nucleotide ribosomal RNA is filed under the name uncultured bacterium. RNAcentral describes it as "bacterial SSU rRNA". It matches the Rfam family "Bacterial small subunit ribosomal RNA", at positions 28 to 507 of the family's 1533-position model. The record is from RNAcentral.
GAUGAACGCUAGCUACAGGCUUAACACAUGCAAGUCGAGGGGUAGCAGGGUAGCAAUACCGCUGACGACCGGCGCACGGGUGAGUAACACGUGUCCAACCUUCCCAUAACUCGGGGAUAGCCUUUCGAAAGAAAGAUUAAUACCCGAUAGUACUUUUUUAGGGCAUCUUAGAAAAGUUAAAGAUUUAUUGGUUAUGGAUGGGGAUGCGUUCCAUUAGAUAGUUGGUGAGGUAACGGCUCACCAAGUCUUCGAUGGAUAGGGGUUCUGAGAGGAAGGUCCCCCACAUUGGUACUGAGACACGGACCAAACUCCUACGGGAGGCAGCAGUGGGGAAUAUUGGUCAAUGGGCGAGAGCCUGAACCAGCCAAGUAGCGUGAAGGAUGAAGGUCCUAUGGAUUGUAAACUUCUUUUAUAGUAGAAUAAAGUGAACCACGUGUGGUUUUUGUAUGUAUACUAUGAAUAAGGAUCGGCUAACUCCGUG